CUUCUAGGACACAGUCUAGCUGCGUAGCUCCAAGGGGAUGGUGACAGUGGUGAUCACUCACAGCACCGUCACCGUGCUGGAGAAUCAACAGUGGAUAGAAGGGAACGUUAAAAUGCCAUCUGGAAGUGGUGCUGUUGUGCCUUUGGCUAAGGUUUUGGGAUACGUUAACACUGCUGUUGAAAGAUCAAACGUCACUGCUCCCCUCACUACCUGUUUUCUUUGUCAGUACUAGCCUUAGUGUGGUUCUGUUAUGAAUUGAGUUGAAGAACUGAUCUGAGCUAAUGUGAUUUGGCAAAGGAAUUAAUGGUUAAUUUUCAACCCAGAAUAGCUUUCUGAAUCAUCCUGCUGAGAAUGUUUCUCCUCUCGCAUGGAAAGUGUUGACUUUAGGGGCAUAAGUGAGUGAUGGAAGAGGAUAGACUAUUUUUAUCGUCAGUGUCAGCUUAUAUAAUUUUAACAUGAUUGUGAAAUUACUGUCUUAACUAAGGAGGACUUGUCACCCCAUGUUUUCAUCAUAACUUUGAAAUGUAUUUAAUGGGCUUUAUUUCAGAUCUUAGUGAUCAAUACACAAUAAUUCCUAGAAUCACCUGCAAGGAGCUCCUGUGGUCUGCUUAGUAAGUACCUAAUUAAAGACAAUUGUAAAUGUGUUCCUUACACUGUGAUUUGCAGCAGGUCCUGCUUAACCAUCUCUGAAGGUGUUGUAAACGUUCUGAGCCCCUAAGAAUGUUGUUUUCCUCUCUUGCAAUUGAUAAGAAACUGCUAAUUAUUUGUGGCCAAGUUUUUUUUAGACAUAUAAUUUUGGCUUUUUUUCUUGCCUACUGUGCUUUUGUAGUAGCAUGCCUUGAAGUAAUAGUGUUAAGGUUUAUUUGCAUCUAUUUUCUAUUGUUUUGUAUUAUUGUUGUCUUAUGUUUCAGGCUGUGUAGCACUUCUUAGAGAAAAGAUUAAGGACUGUGAAUCUGUUUGGAAUUGGCUUAAUCUUAUUCUUGGUGGUGUCAAUAAACUUUGCUUCUGCCCUUAAACAC
Oxyura jamaicensis (ruddy duck) is the source of this 1019-nucleotide long non-coding RNA. RefSeq lists it as uncharacterized. The record is from RefSeq and is a predicted model, not a curated record. NCBI's taxonomy places the organism in Eukaryota, Metazoa, Chordata, Aves, Anseriformes, Anatidae. The transcript has 2 exons.